GGAAAUACAAGUAGAAAGUUUGUCCCUCUGUUCUGUAUAAUUGGUCUCUAUACUUCUAAUAUUGCAGUGAGAAUAGUACAAUGCAAAUGAUUUCAGGGGCUUGUUUGUUUGUUUGUUUGUUUUUUUGUAAAGGAUUUUAAACAAAAUUGUAGAAUACACUUCAGGACUCCUUUUCUAUCCCAUUGCACAUUGUAGUUAAGGGUGGGAAAGCAUAUUGCUCUGGGUUUUUUUUAUGCUUCUGUUAAAGCUAAAGAAUUGAUGUCAGUUGUUUUUCCUUAGUUUUCUUGCUUUGCUUUUAGUACAUGUAAAACAUUUCUUGUAUUAUUUAAAUGUAUUUAACUAUUCCUUGCUUUAGUAUUUAAAAGAUUAGUUUUAUAUCAACCAAAGCACAUUUGGAUUAAGAUUUAUUGGGGAUUCAGUAAACUCGCACUUUUUCUUUGAAUUUAUCUAAUUUUUAGGAGUUAACUGCCUGGGAAUUAGAAGAAAAAGAUAGAAGACUAGAACACAAACCCUAAAGGUUCACCUGACCUAAUAAUGUCUAGGUUUCAGUUUUAUUAAAUCUUUAUGUUUGGAAAUUUCAACUUCAGCUGAACUAGCUUUGCUCUUAACUGCAGCCCUUGUCCUGUAACUAUGGAAUCCAUUUCCAAAUUAUUGAAAGUUUAUCUUUAAAGAGCUAAUAUGCUCUCUAGGUAGGAAAUUACGAAAAAAGGUGAAAACAGUUGAGAGAUCCAUAGCAACAGAUUUUCUCUUGCAGCUGGCCAAAACAGUCUAACUAAUGGUCUGAGAAAAACAGUUUUUCUCUUUUUUUUUUUUUUUUUUUUUUCCCAUGUAGUUCAUUGGCAAGCUUCCUGCAGUAGCUGCUUUGACAGAUAUAAAAUUGCCUGUCUUUAUUGCAUGGUCUGUCCGCUGCCAGAUUUCCUGGCCAUUCUUUUUCCAGUGGAUACCAUGGUGCUUUACCGAGAUGUGGGGAUGUAAAAUUCAGUGAACAGUGAAGUUCUCAGAUUAUUUUCAAUUAAUUCCUUUUAAAUAAUUUGUAUUUCUGUCUUCUUUAUAAUAAUUAUGGUUGUCACGGAGCUAUCUCUACAUGUUCUUUGCACAUCAUGCUUUGCCAUUGGACUUCCAAUAGGAUGCAGGAAGCUACAAAGCUUUUGUUGAUGUUCCCUAUUGAAAUGCAACUUGUAGUGAGAAUCCUAUGAAAAAGGAGCAGGUUCCCAACUGAAAACUAAAACUGCUGUAUCCUCUCUGGAAUAGGGAUAAGAGAGAGAAAGGCAGGUUGUGAUUUUUGUCAGGUGCACUGUGAAGGAUGGGAAUGCAGCUGCUUUCUGCAUGGGGUUCAGAAUGAACGUAGUAGGGCAGAGUUAGCAGCUCGGCGAAUUAGGUGGCAACUCAACACUGCUUGCUGCUUGUAACCAUCAUUAAAAUGCUUGCACACACAGUCAUCUGGCUGGACUGCCUCACUUAGCUAACCAACAGCUUGUUUAUGAGGACAGAAAAUGAUAAGGGGAAUAGAAAAUUGGCCAAAAAAAAAAAAAAGGCAGGAAAGUUGUGUCUGUAGUGCAGUGUUGAAAAAAAGUGGACAAAAGGACUCCAUAGCUAGAAAAACUAUAUAACUUAUUUUUAUGGAAUUGAUAGUUAUGGAAAUCUAUGAACAGAAUGUUCCUCCAGAUAGAGUGCUUUUACUGUUUUAGUACCUGAAAUAAUAGAGAAUGGCUUUGCAAAAACUAUGGUGGCAAAAAGAUUUUUUUCCAGGUACAAAAGACAUUUUCUUUUUUGUUUUGUUGCUGCUCUUUUUUUGUUGUUGUUGUUAAUUUUCUUUUUUUUUUUUUUCUUUUUCACUAGCUGUUAGCUUGCGAUAACAGCUCUCUACUGCUGCAAACUGUCAGUGUGUGCAUAUAUCUUUUCUGUGCUUAUGGUGAAUCCAACCGUCAUCUUAAAAAAUAACUGUUUGUUUCUGUUAGUAAAAACGCUGGAGAUGGACCAGAAGGUGCAGUAACAAAGGGAGUAAAAGGAUUGGGAUGCCAGCUGAAAUACUGUUGAGGUAGACUGGGACUGGGAUUUAGGGAGGAAUUGUAAAUUGACUGCCACAGAUGUAGGAAAUCUGAGUUGAUAGCUCAGCAGAUUGUGGCACAAAGAUGUGAAGUCAUCUCUUACCUGCAUAAUGAAGAGACUGGGAAGAUGGGUGGGGGAGAGGAGUUGAGGGGAGAUAUGUUGUUUGAGAAACUGAUCCACUGAGAGGAAAUUAACGCUGUAAGUUGGUGUCACAGCACCCAAGGUAGCCCCUACCUAAGUGUGAUGGGAAGUCUGUGAAAGUAAGCUUUGCUUUCAGAGUUAAUGAAAUUGGGGAAAUGUUUUGGAGUGAUCAGCUGGGAUCUAGAGAAUAUACUAGAAGGUUGUUCCAUGGUCAACAAAGUACCCAGAAUUCAUGUCCUCUGCUGGUACGUCUUCUAUAGCAGACUCCUUCCACUUCUGAAGUCAGCUUUUCAGGGAUAUGUCCUUUUGUUAUCAGUGGCUUAAUUCAGAGCCCAUACCAGCUGGAGCAUUAAUUGAUUUGCAGAAAACUUACAUUUCUCUUAAGACUGGCUUUCAGUACUGACAUUCAAAAUUGCUAUAUGUUAAUACAAAUUUACUGUUUCUAUUUGCUAAAUUAUUUGCUUCUAUUUGCUAAAUUAUUUAUGUUUUUUUUAAACAUUUUAGUAUUCAUGAAACUGUUUUGUCUUUUGUAAGAUCUUUUUCUCUCCCUUUACCCUGCUGAUGUGCCUUCCAGACGUGAUUUCCACGUCCCUCUCAGCUGCAAGCUGACAUCAUCCCUUGAUGUUCCUUGUUUGAUGCCCAUUCAAACAUAUUCCGGUGGAAUGGAAGUUACCAGCAAUGAGAGUCAGAUUUUGUUGCAUUCUCAUGCUGAAUUCUGCUCAUGAUAAGGAAUGGCCAAUAAAGUGGGCCAAUAAAGCACUUUCAGACUGAUUCACUAACAGCUCUGCAUGAAAGGAUUAAAUUUCCCAUUUGAGAACUCAAGAUGUCAAGUGUAGUCCACUGAAACAAAAAGACUACUCCAAAGAAAUACAAAAAUAGAUGUAUAUAGAACACAAUUUUAAAAAAAAUUAAGCUUUUUGGGACAGAAUCACUCUUUAAUAAUAUAUUUUAUUAUAUCUUACAUGAAGUUUAAAAGAAUAGUACAAUACAAUCAAAAUUAUUCAAUUGUAGUUAAAAGUUAAGGUUAAUUCACAGUAUCAUAAUGUUUUGAAAUACUGUACUUGGAACUAAAUUUUUAUUUUUCUCUUUUGAGUGGGCUAACGAAAAACUGACACAAUUCUUUAAGAACUUGAUGUCAAGAGAAGUACCUGCUUUCCAGCUUGUUGACUAAUUAAUUAAUUAAUGUUCAAUAUGCUCUGCUCAGUUGCAGAGCAACUCAGUUCAAAACCUUGCAAAGACACUAUAGCAGAUAACAUGGGAAUAAGUUGUGUUAAAUAGUGAUCAGCAUGGGUUCCUGUUUUCACUUCUGUGGCCUUUAUAAAGUCUGUAUAUUUUCUCUGGGUGUUCAGCACUUGUGGAGGGUUUAGCAGGUUUGUGGGUACAGUAAGAUUUGUGGUCUUUCUGCCAUUAUCUCAGAUAUGACUUAGUGAUUGUGACCAGAUCUUUUUUAAGACUAAAAAAAAAAAAGUUAGAAAUACUAACUCACAAUUCCAAGAAAAAUACAAUACUCAGGAUACUCACCAUAAUUCUGAAUUGUGAGACCUCAUAAAAAUAUCAGAGAGUGUAAGGCUAUAAUACAUUUUAGAGAGUGUACUAUAAUUCUGAGAUUGCAAAGCUGGUUUCUUCUGUAACCUUGAUAUCUACUGAGUAUUUUCUGAAAGCAACCCAUUUAAUUUAGCUUUUCACAAGGCAUAUUAUAUAAUUUUAAUCUUGAAUAUUAUCAUAUUGAUUUAUUAUGUUUGUUUUCCCAUAAACAAAAAUCGAACAGUAAUAAAUUGAGAGUGUGCUCCCCCUGCAGUCUUUUAACAAUAAACUUUUUUUUUUUAUUAGACUUUUUUUUUAAACUGUGGAAUUUGUAAAUUUAGGGUUUUUGGAGUUUACAAUAUUAAACAGUGCAAUAAACCUUUGAGCUGCACAGAGAGGUUUUUUGUGUGGAAAUUAACUACUAUAGAGUAGUUAUGUAAUGUAAUUAUAGUUUCAUAUUAACAAGUGCUCAUAAAUUACAUAUAUAACAUAAGUCAUCUGCAAGCUGAAGACUUAGGUGAGGUUUGAAUGAAGAAGGGAUGGUCAGCUUGGAAUUAAACAAAUGUGUUUUCUCCACUGCAGUGAUGUCAUGUAGCAGAGUGCACAUGUAGCAGCUGGUACAUAAUCUGAAUAUCAAGUUUGUGAAGGUGUUAGACUGGUAUCACUGAGUGACCUGGAAACCAGAUCAUGCCUGGCACAACACAGUCUUAGGGUUCUGAAAAACACCUGCCAUGUUCUGCUUGUGAGAUCUUGUUCUUAUGGGAAGGUGUAGCUCUGGGUCUUAGGAGUAUUUUUAUGUGCUGGUUAAAGAGCUAUGAUAGUUGAUGAAAAUAACAUUAAAGUUAUGGUAGUGUCUGCAAAUGUAGUAGCUGAGAUCUGAAAAACCUUCUAGCAUCUCAUAUUUGAAAAGUUUAAAACUGAACCCCUGCUAUUCUUGAUAAUGUUUACAAGAACAACAGAAAGUUGAUAUGAGUUUAGGUAUCAUACUUCCCCAAUAUACUUUUUGUAGAUUAACAUAUGAGAUGUAAAUAUUCACCAGCACAACCUCCAAAAGACAAAUAAAAUCCCUAUACAGAACACAAACACUCAUAUAUGUUUUCAAAGUGACUGUGAGAUUACAUAUUUUACUGUUUUGACCUAUAAUGAGUCCUGAGACUAUGGUGAACUCACUUAUAACAUGUCUCAAAAUGUAACCACAAUACAUGUGACAGAUUAUUGUUAAUUACAGAGCUUUUUCUCACUAAAUCUCAUGUAACCAUUGAAGAGUAUAUGCACUUCACUUUUAAGCACUGAGAUGUAAGCACCCCAAAGAAAACAAUCAGAAAAUAUUUGUGUGUCAAAGCAAUAAUUUCUGCUUUUGAAGGUACACGAGGUCACAGGACAAUAUUUCAUGUUUCAUAGGUGUAACAGCAAUUUCAUACUCUUCUCCUACAAGCAGGGCCUGAAUCUGAGCUCUGUUUCUACCAAAAUAUCCCCUGACAGCAGCAACAGAUGGGAAGCAGUAAGUUACGUGAUUCUAAGGCCAGAUGGGAGAGAGAUGUUCACUUCAUGAGCAUCAUUAAAGGAAUGGUUUGUUACUAGUUUGAAAUAACUAUAUUAAGACUUCUGGAUAGCCCCCUAUGUCUUUAAGUGAGACAGAAUUCAGUGUCUUUGACCAAUUUUUUUUUUUUUUUCUAUUCCAAGAGGCUGUACCCGUCCUACUAAAUUAGGUUCCCAUUAAAAAUCUGUGGUUUGCAAAUGAAACCCAGCAAGUAGUAGACUAACAGGAAUCUUAUUGAAAAAAAAAUUCAGUCACCAAGGUGAGCAGCUCUGGUGCUGACACAAUCCAUAGCAGAGCACCCUGGUGACUGCUUCACCUCCUGAGAUGCCCUGGCAUAAUCAUUAUGAGGCUCUGUAAAUGGAGGUGAGUGAUUGCCAGGACAAUGCUUCCUCUACCUUGGAGGUGUCAUUGAGGUUAAGUCUGUCUAUCCUGUGUCCAAACUGCAUCCGUAAAGGAAAAAGCAGGGGUACUUUUCAUUGGAAAUUCAUUUCUGAUGAGGUAGAGAGGAUCCAAAAUACAGACAUUGCCUACUUUGUAGGGGAAUCUGUUGCCUCUCUAGAGCUGGGAUGCACAUGAGAAGAAGAACAAUCCCACCCUGGAACACCUGUCAGAUUACUAUCCAUUAUUGAUGGUUCAGGUAGGCAGUGAUAAAACUGCAACAAAAAGUCCAAGGGCAAUCAAGAGACACUUCAGGUCUUUGUGAUUACUAAGUAAAGGAUCAGGGCACAAGAAAUGUUUCCCUCUAUCCUUUUAGGCACAGGGAAUGAGGGAAGAAAUAGCAGAUCAAUAUCUGGCUCCAAGCCAGUUGUCAACAGCAGAAUUUGGGAUUUGUUAUCAUGUGUCAGUUUACACAACACUGAGCCUGUUGGCGACAGAUGGGUACACCUGUUUCAAAUGGGAAAAACGAUCUUUGUGCAGAAAUUAGCAGGACUCAAAUAAAGACCUUUAAAUGGGUUUUGAUGGGGAAAAGGAUAAACCAGGCUCACUAGAGAAAAGCCUGGGAGCAGCACAACAAUGUUUGUGGUGUGUACAAGUGAGGUGCUUUGAUCUGCCAUCUCUGUGGAGGUAGGGGAUAGAGAGUCAUCCAACAGCAGACAUGGAAGGGUUACCAAUGUGUUUGAAACACAUUUUGUGUGGAAAAGCCCAGAAUGAUCAAAUGGGAAUUUAGGCUUCUCCCCUAAAAAAGGGGCAUAUUUGCCAGAGUCUGCUGUUAUAAGAGGAGGAUCUGAGUUGGUUUAAAUAAUUUGAAUUUAACCCAGCUGUAAUACCUGAGAUUAUUCACUAAGGAUUUUCAGGAUACAAGGAAAACGAAGCAGGGUGUUAUCAGUCAAUGAUGAGAGCUAAAACAGCAAAAAGGGCUCUCUAACCACAUAUUAUGGUCUGAUGAACUGCAGUAGGAAGCAUUGCCUUUGUAGUACUGUCUUUGUAUUAUUGUUAUUAGGAGUUUUCUGUGUAUAAAGGACAUAAGUUAUAAUCAUUACAAUGCUGACUAGCAUUUUCAUGAGCAGGAAAUCACAAAUUUGAAAAGAAACCAUUAUUAUCCUUACUAAGAUGUUUCUGUGAGUAUUAUGGAAUAAAAGCAAAGUACUUGCUAUUAUUUUAGUAAUGGUUGGGAAAAGCAGUAAGUUAUGUGAUUCUAGAGCCAAAUAAAUUAAUGUGUGCAGAACAAGCUACACAUAAACCCUCUUUAUAGAAAAGCUAUGACAAAAGCUCUCCACUAUUGCAGGUUUUGGCGCAUUUUUGCACUCAGGUGCAGUUGGUGUCAUUCUUAAAGGCUUUUGGCAAACCAUGGCUGAAGAGAACAAAAAUUAAAUGCAUCAAUAUUAUGACUCUUUACAACACACAAGAAUAUCCCGAAGGGCCAGUCUUUAUCUUGUGAUAAACAACUUUCUCUACAAUUGAAAUAAGUAUCUUCUGUUGUAACCAGUAGUGGCCUUUUUCAUGUUGACUAAAGCAGUUGAAUUCCAAAACUGAAUUACUUAACUGUAAAAGUUUUCCAUUGUAAUAAUAUUAAGGAUUUAUCCACUCUAGUCAACAUUCUUGCAGACUUUAAAAUAUUUUUACAGCAUUUGGAUAAUUUUUUAUUAUGUAAACUUGCUGCAAGUUGUAUUAUUUCAAAAUAUUCUUUUUUUUAAAUCUACAGUUCAAGCUUUUAUUAUUUUUUUUCUUGCAUUUUAAUUGAAUCUACAGUAAGCAGCAGUGGUUAGAUGUUUGAGCUCUCAGUUUCAGUUUUCUCCAUUUUCAUUAUGUCAAAAUGAUUUCCAUUUCACAAGACUUUGCUUCCUCUCUACAUGUGUAAAACUUUUAAGUCAACCAUUUUGGCAGAAGUACUCUGUCUGUAAGUAAAAAUAAAAACAUGACCCAGGCAAGGACUUGUGACCCAGGGAUCUUUAUUUAGCCUGGACAGAUUUUUAUCAGCCAUACACUGCAGAAAAGAGCUUGAUAAUAGAAUGUGAUAAGCUUGAUGUUAAGAAAUCCAUAUUGAAUAGGAAAUAUGGUUGGAAAUUAAUUUCUAACAUCAAUCUCUUUAGGCCCAUAGUGUGUAAAUUUCUUUCCUAUUUCCCAUAAAUUGAUACAAAUUUAUGUUAUGUUCUGCUAGAAAACUUAAAGCUUAAGAGGGAUAUAGGGAUACAAUUGCUCUUCUAAUUUAGUUCUACUUUUUUUUUUUCUUUUUCUCCUUCAUUUUUUUCCCCUGUGUUCUCUUAUUCAAGUCUAGAAUCAGAAUAAUUUAGGUUGGAGACUUCCUCUGGAAGUCAGCCUGUCCAACCUCCUGCUCACAGCAGGGCCUACCUCAAAGUUGGAUCUAACUUCAAAGUUGGCUCAUGCUGCUUGGGGUCAUAGCCAUCAAAGUUUUGAAUAUACAAAGGAUUUUAAAUGGAAUUUUCUUCUUUACUUUCCAAGGAUGAGUUUUGAUUUAGUUUAGAACAAUACUUUUUAUUUUAUUAUAUUUUUAUUUUAGUUUAUUGUAUUUUUGUGGAAUUUUUUGUGAGUUUUGGAUAGGUAAUUUCUUAGCCAAGUAUGCAAGAACAUAUAAUUUUUUUUUUUAUUCUAUGGUUUAUAGUGAAAUCACCCUAGGCACAGGUUUGAUUAGAUUUAUUGUGGUGACUCAAGUCAAACAAAAAAUGUGGAAACAAUAAGCUCCAGUUACUGCAACUGUGGUCAGUUUUUAUAUAAAAGCUGGAAGUGGAAUUAUCUCUGCUUCAGCAUAUUGGACAGUAUAAUUUUAGCAGUCAGCUAAAAUAGCAGCAAAAGGCCUUAAGUUGUAGUUUAAAUUUUCACAGAAAAUGCAUUUAUUUAUUUAUAAUUUGUUUAAUGCCAUGAAACAAUUAAUAAAAUGCUGAGACUGAAUAAAAUUAAUGAAUCUGCUGAAUAUCAGCUGUGUUUUAAAGCAGAGGAUGUGCUAUUUUAAUAUCAAAACCAGUAAUGAAAAAAGUUUAGUUUUGCUUUCCUCUUUUUCGAAACCACAGCAUUUAACUAGUAGGUAGUUUAAUGACAACUAUAGGUAUUAAUUUAGCUUAGUUAUCAUCAUACAAUAUUUAUUAAUUUAUUGAAGAUAAAAGAUUUCAACAUUUAACCUAAUUUCCCAAUAAAUAUCACUGGCCUCUUAAAAGAUAAUCUAUUUUUGUCUAAUUAUAUUUUGAAAUUUUUGUUUCUAAUUGCAGGGAUACAUGUUGUCUCCUACACUUAGUUUUAUAAUUUAAAAAAAUCUGUGAGUAAAACAGCUGAUACUUAGCAAGAAGGACAAAGGAUUUUUAUGUCUUCACUAUGUCAUGAUUGUCUUUAAUACCGGGAUUUCUGAGACUCCAGCAUGUAUUGCUGCCAAGAUGUCUUUUAUUCAAAAUACAGAUAGCUCAUGACCUUGCACUUUCACUGCAGUAUCUGAGCAUGUAUUUCCAUUCAACUACAAAACUAUAUGCUAAGCUUAUGGAUUUAGAAUAAAGUCUAAAGAUUCUUUCUUGACAUCUUCACAAUCUUGAAUAGAUUUAUUCUCUGUAUGUGAUACACUUGCUCCUAUUGUAUUUUUGUUGCUAUUCAUCCUAAAAGUCUGGAUAAAAUUACAUUGUCUAAAACAUUGAAUGCUCUCAAAAUUGUUGUUAGGAAUUCUUCCUAGGGAGUUUUCAUCUAUUUUUUUUUUAUCUGCUUUUUUAAGUCUAUGUUGAAGUCUAAGAUUAUUAAACUGGUUGAUGUAUCUAUAUGAUAGUAACAAAAAUGAGUGGUAAAUAGAAUUUAUUUGAACUAUUAGCAAGAUUUUUGGCAUAGAUUUCACUGUAAAAAUAGACUGGUGAUAUAGGGGCUAGAAAAACUGACUAGAAGGUGAGUGGGAAACUAAUAUGGCUAGGCCUAAGUAUUGAGAUUAAUGAAGGCUAACUAAGACUGUCUUUGAACCAAAGGCAAAUGUUGAAAGAAGGUUUUAUUUAGUUUCUCCAGCUUUUAUCCUUAACAUUUCAUAAUUUCUGAUUAAAAGUAUGAAAAUAGUGUCUUGACCACUCUCAUGCUGAAUAUGUCAGUAAGUAUGUGAAUUGAUUACAGAAGUUUUGCCAAUAUUGUUUUGGAAGGAAUAUUUAGGCAGUCAGACAAACUACAAUGCAAGUUUUGGAUUGGGUUUGUUUGGCUUUUUUUUAUUUUCUUCACAAAAACCAUAGUAAAUUUGGCUUGGUGUACUGAAUAUAUGUGGAGUCAUGUAGAAGUUCUAAUAGUGUUCAGUAUGUUUUUAUUUUUAGUCUCUCUAGAGAUGUAAAAUUUUCAUACUUCCUUUUAGGCCCUUUCCUCCUCCUGAAUAACUUGGGAAGUUUCUUGAAGAGUAAAUGACUUGAAAACCAAAUUCUACUCUUUAUUGAGGGAAAACUUCAGCAUUUGUUUUCAUGCCCUCAUGUUUGAAAAUUUUCUUGGGAGGCAUAAGACCUAUACUUGAAAAUUCAAAAUAAUUACUUCUUUCUACUUCCUCCUUCAUUGAUUAUUUAUCUACAGCUUUUUGAAGAGAUGUUUGAAAAUCUGCAAGUGGCAGCAAAUUGGAGCAAAAUACCUGUCAUUUCUGUUCUGUUGCAAUAAUUUAAAUAAUUAACUAUCUGAGGUUAUCCAUGUAAUAAUCUUCUUUACCAAGGACAAAAGAGUCAAUUUUCAAAGUAGCCCUAAAUUAUUAUUCAACAGUUUUUCAUUUGAAAAGUCCAGCAUUAUUUGGAGUAAGAUCAUAGGACACUAAUAUAUUUCAUAACAAAAGUAAAGGUUAUUGUGAUGAGGUAGUUACAUGCUGUUUCAUUAAUGGUUUUUGUUCUGUGAAAUUUGGUAAGCAACAGGUUGGUGUUUUUCUGAAGAGUUUCUUCAGCUUAACUGGAAAUAAAUGGUCACAUAAAGCAUAAAAUUUUUUGCUACAUUUAUGUCCUAUGUCUGUUUUAUCUCUGCACUGCAAAAUACAUCCUUUAAUACUUCCUGAUAAAAUUCAGAAGACCUUGUAAGUCAAUGGUAAAUUGACUACAGAGGUAAAUUUUUGCAAAAUGGAAAGGAGUCAUUUAAAGGUUUACAAUGAGUCAUUAAAAUUGGCAGUAAUUUUACUGGGAACCCUUGCUAGGAAAUGCUAAAAAGUUGCAUAAAGACAUGUCAACAUUUGAAGCAAGUAGUGAGAGUAAAGCAUAAACUGACCUAUGCUUGAAAUAAAACAUUUCUAACAGAAAAAUAUGCAUAUUUGAGGUGUGAAUGUAUAAGGUCAUUUGAUAAUUUAUGUGCAACCAAAAGUCUGGUCAGAAGUAACAUCCAAUUAGUGCUUUACAAAAGAAAUACAUCUCCAGUUACAUUCGUAAUAAGCAGUGCCUUAAAGUGAAGUCAGAAGAACAGAUUUUAUUCUGGUGAAUGUCUAUACAUGAAAGAGCAUAGAUGUGGGUCUCCUGGACAUUUAGAUAUAUUUUUUUAAAUUUCUAAAUGAAAGUUUGUAUUUUAUGCCAAAUGACUGUAAGUGCAUAGAUACACAUAGUUGAGGAUGUGAUAACCAGGCACUACACAGCAUCUGGGCCAACCGAGAAUAUGGGGAACAAAAAUAAAAUAACUGGAUUUUAGCAAAUAUUGACUCAGGAGUAGCUGUAUGCGUAUCUUAACUUUUAUCCAUUCAUUACCUUAAGGAUGAAAUAAUUUCCAUUGCAUUCCCCUAUAACACAUUGUCAGUGUCUGUGCAAUGCUGCAACAAAUAAAUAUUUUUUAUUAAAAAUGUGGUAUAUGCAAUAAGUCUUUUCACUAAAUAAGCAGACUAGGUUGAUCUCCCUUGAUUUUGUUUUCAAAUUACUUUGAGAUACAAACAAAUUAGAGCAGUUUGAAAUUCACUGUUCCCCAGUCAGCAGUAAAGAAAACAACACAAAUUAAAUUAACCUGAUGAUAGGGCUGAGUCUCGAGUUGAGAUGGAAUCAGUUUCAGUCAGUUUGGUCCCAGAUAGCUUUCUUAGCAUCCAUAGUCACUUUUGAGGACUUUUAAAGGGUGUUUUCCAACAGGAAUAUCUGACUUGUAUCUAAUUACAAGUAAUAUGGAGUUCAAAGGAACACACUGUCAAUUAGUGCUCAGUCUCAACAAGUGAGACUUUAUUAUCAACAUCAUUGUACACCUCCAUUAAGGGCAGAUGUUGCAUGCAAUUGAUUGGCAACUUUCCAAUUACUUUGGUUUUGUUUGUGCCAUGAAAAUGUUACAUUCCACUCAAAAGAACUUCAGCUUCUCUAAAGCUGCUCUAAGAAGAAAAUUAUUCUUGUUUGAGGACGAUAAAAGAAUACUCUGACUCAGAUGUGUGUCAAAGUAUGUGUGAUGACUUCUAUGGUUCUGAUCACUAUUUAAAUAUUAAUGGCUUAUAGGAAAUCUGUAUGUUUGAAACAAAAAAGAUAUAAAACCAAUGUGUUUUGUUUUUUCAUGCCUCUGCACUGCAGUGUAGAAUGGCACAGUUUUCAGGCUAAGGAUGUGAGCUCCUAGUGGCUAUUGGCAUAAAUAAGGGACAGCUCAAUCCCUUACCCUUUAUUUCAUCUUACUUUUCUAUUUGUAGCAUGACCAUUUCUUUUCAUGUUUCUUUGCUUUCCAGGCAUACUUUCUAGAACCCUUUUUAAGCAGAAUUCAGACAGCUAAAUGCCAGGGAUGUAGGAGGUAAACAUUUCACAGGAAAUUAACAUAAAGUAAUCUGUGAUUAGGCUGACAAAAAUGGGGAUAAAUAGCACUGGAAUUAUUUUUAGAGGUGUUUUUUUUUGUUUACUUGGGUUUUGGUUUUUGGGGUUUUUUUUAAAAUUGAUUACCUAAGUAGGAUUAAUAGUGAGGUGUCAGCUUAAAAUAUUAAUUUACUGGUAUAUGUAAAGACCUAGGCAACCAAUCUGCAGAUAUAUAUUUCAAAAAGAGUUAGAGGUACAUAUUUGAGUAUUAUCUAUAUAAUAUUUUGUGUUUAAUUGAAUAAGUGUGCAGAUUACUUUAUUUCCAUUUCAUACAUCUACUUUACCUGAUUAUUUCAAGGUGUGGUCACUGGUAACCUCACGCGAUUUAAAAAAGAUUGUAAUAUUGUGUUUUCUUUGCAAAAAUACAGCACCAAAAAAAAGGAAAAAAAAAAACUGUCUUAUAGUACUGAGCUUUCCAUAGAAUCUCUAGUUUAUUGUAGUUUAGUAGAAUAAGAUAUUACUUGAUGUGAAUUUUUGUGGGAAGUCUCAGUAAAAAUAAGAUCUCUGAUUUUACUCUAUUGAGGAAAUGUUGGAGUUAGAUUUACUUCUUACACAAAUUCUAGAUAGAAGCAGUAACAUUACAUAAUUAUGGAACAUGACCUUGUGAUCUGAAGCAAAGACAGCUUUGUACUCCAUCCAUUCCCAUAAAUUUGUACAAUUUAUCUUAUGAAGUAGGAAAUAAUUGAAAAUAAUGUGAAUUGGAAAUUGCACAGAGACUGUCGGAACAAAGUCCAUAAAUUCUACCUAGCCACUUUUAUCACCUCUCACUAUGCUAAACAUGGAAAUUAUAGCUUGCAACCUUUUCCAGUCUCAAAAUAGCAAUUUUCAGAAGUGAUGGUGCCUUCUGUAAUCUGUAGGCAGAUGUUACAGAGUCAAUGGGUUGCUGUUUCUCUGUGCAAGGAGUACACAGCUGAUGUACUCUGCUUCACUGAAGAGGGGUGUCAUUCCUAGAAAAAAAAACAUCAAAAGAGAACUUUUAGGGGAUUUCAGCAUUUAUCAGUUAUAAUUUGACAUGGCUAUUUUGACUAAUAUAUAUUUCAAAGAGUUUUUAUGCUACUGUUCUGAAAAGCCAAAAGUAACAGUCUUUAAAACACGUUUUCAGGCAGACAAGUUUUAUUUCUUUUCCUUUUAGGAAAUUAGUCAUAAAGAUGAAGGUAUGACACCAUCACUGCUUGCAUCCAGAGCUGGAUGUGGUAUUGCAAUAGAAAUCUCCCCGCUAGACAACUGAGAUAGACAGCAACAGAGGUGAAAAAAGUGUAACUCAUUACUAUCUGUAAUACUAUAAAGAUAUCACAAGUACAGUAAACUUUCAAUAGCUUUAUGACUCUUUUUAGAGUUUAGUAAAAUGGCUUACUAAUUCAGAUGUCAGGCUCCAUCACUGACCAGGAGCUGGCUUCUUGGUGGGAUUGCAGGAGUCCCUUAUCUCUAGAAGACAUCUAUAUAGUUUGGGUGUCUUUGUCUAUGGAGACUUUUUGUGUUCCAGGGGUCCAUAUGAAAGAUUUUCUUUUGGAUUUUUCUUCUUUGGUUUUUCAGUUUUCACAUCAUUGGGUGUAACCUUGGUGCUUUUGAAGAGUCAAGGAAAAGUUAUACAUAAACCAAAGGUGUAGACAUAAAUUUGGAUACACAUAAUAAAGUAGAAUAAAAUUUGCAGUAACACUGAAAUACUUCCCUGAAGCAAUGGAAUUUUCUGCUUCCUCCUGAGACUUCUCUCAUUACAUUAUACCAAUGCACACAUGCAUAUACAUAUACUCAGAUAUAUUUAUAGCAAUUUCUGGUUUAUUUGUGUUGUUACUUCUGUGCUUAAUAUGUGUAUAAUCAGCGUGAAUCUAUUGAGUACUGGUUUAGUUCAGAGUAAUGACCACAGGAUUUGACAUUAGAGGCCAUAAAUCAAGCACUAUCACCUUACACUUCCGGCAACCACUAUAUUCUGAGUUAGUGCUGUGGAUGCAUCACUAUCCCAUGUAGAGAAAAGGCUGGGACAGAAACCCCCCAGGUGUACACACAUCGUGCUUUGAAAGUUUAUUUCACUCACUGCAGUGUACAAAUUUUAAUACUGUAUCAUGUGAUUGCUGAGAAAUCUUUUAAAUUGCUUUUUUGAUGGAAGUAUUCAUUUAGCCUCAACCUUGGAAAUGUGGCUGCUUGCUCUGAGGUCAUGGUGCCACUGAGGUGGAGGUCAGGAGCUUCUCACGUGCGAUGUGUUGCCAGGCUACAGCCUCAGUUAUUGCUCAAGUAUUUGCAGCAUUUAAUUUGUAAUAUUGUUGCUAAGGCAACUAGCUUAUUACAAAUUUCUGUUUGCAUUUCUAGAUGGAAGGAGCUGAUAAUUUGCAUUUCUUAGACUCUCAGCCCUGUUCCAAAAUUGUCUUUAGGUUUGCUAGAUCUUUUUUAAAUGCUAAGUUUAACUGACAUCUGUAAGGUUUUUUCACUGUACUUGAGCUCUCUUCUGACCUCUUUUGUGAGACCCUAUCAAGCUUUCCUUUACAUUAUUUUUUGAUCAUGCAGGAGAAAUCUACACAUUGUAUUCUUUUGAAAUUGAUGGAAAAGCAUCAAGGUGUUUUGUGUGAACUUAUUUUAUCCAGUUACAAGUUUUCUGUCUCUGUCUUACUGUUCCAAACUUGAGUCAUUUUUAUUAUGAACCUUGUGCAGCCUGGCCUGUUACAAAUUCACUAAUGUUAUAUUUUGUGUGAACAAUCUCCAGACAUAUACAGCAAUGAUUUUGAUUGACUGUUCCUUACUGCAGUUCGUGAUUACUUGCAGAAAGUCACUCUUGAUAGAAUUAGAUACUUUAUCUACUCAUUCUUCCUCAGUUGUUCCCUGAGUUGCAAUAACAUCACAACUGACAGCAAAAUUAAUAUCUUUCCUCGUCAGCAGAGAUGCCUCUUUCCUCAUGCUUUGUCUUCCAGAGUUCACACAAGCUACUUUACAUUUUAUGUUGGUUUUUAUUUGUGCAAUUUGCUUUGUCAUCACCGCAGAAUUCUCAAGUUCUUCUUUCCUGGAACAAGGAAAACAGUAAUUACUUUGCCUUUUAAGCAUGAAUUCCAUCCAUUUGUUGUCAAAUAUUGUACUAUUAGAUUCUGGAAACAUGAGUAGUAAUUAGCUCCACAGUUUCCUUCCACUUAUAUCAACAUUAGACCAAAUGGAUAAUAAUAUAAUAAAUAUAUAAUCACCUAGGAAAGGAUUUUUUAAAAUUAAUUACUUUAUAUUGGAAUUGCAAACAGAUGUCUAGCAAUAAUAGAGUGUUGUCAUGGCAGUCCUAAGAUACCACAAAUGUUUCCCACCUGUAUUUCAGUAUUUGUUAAAUUAGUUUUUCCUUUGAAGAGCAUUAGUAUUUACAGAGGAAUAAGUGCAAGGCCUUUGCAGACUUGCUAUUUUCCUACUUAAUAUGACUUUUGUGUAUAGUAUUUGUGAACCAGAUAAUUUGAUGCAGUGAACCAGCCUUAAUGCUUCCUAUUUUAUGAAACUUUCAGACAUUUAAUGAAAGUUCAUUUUCAUUAAUACACAAAAAUUACUAAAUUUUAUAAACAGGUUGGGAAAGUUAAUUUGCAAUUCUUCAGGCCUAUAAAUGAAUGAAUUUACUACGAGUUCUGCAAACUAAUGGAAGAUACAACAAGGUGGUUGUCAGAUAAAGGUUGCACUAAUGAAUAACAAGAUUUUUCAAAUUAUCUAGGAAUCUUAUUAAUAAAACAGACUGUCAUAAAGUAUUUAGGAGGUUCCCCUUAGGGGGAAAAUGAAAUGGCAGCUUUCUCUGGAGAAUGUUAAAAGAGGAACCAGCUUACUUUCAGUUUAAGACCUCUGCCAGUGUUUUAGGCAGGCUUAAAGACCUUUCUGGUGAAGCACAGAGUAAAUGCACAGGAUGCAACAGCUCCUACAGUGUAUUUGUCCAUCAUUCCUUAAUAUGACCUGGAGGAGGCAGUAGAAGGAAUGCAUGACUCCACUUUUAUUUCCUCUUUGACAGUAUUUACUCAUAUAUGUUACCAGGCUUUCCAUUGUCCUUGUGCACACAAUAGUGGAAACAGAAUUGUUGUGGCUUAACCUCAGCCAACUGCUAAAUACCACAUAGCCACUGGUUCAUACCUGCUCUCCCUGGGUGAAAUGGGGAGAAGAAUCAGAAAAAAAUAAAGGUAAAGGUGAAGGUUGAGAUAAGAACAGUUCAAUAUU
This is a long non-coding RNA of Taeniopygia guttata (zebra finch), 16575 nucleotides long. RefSeq lists it as uncharacterized. Lineage: Eukaryota; Metazoa; Chordata; Aves; Passeriformes; Estrildidae. The record is from RefSeq and is a predicted model, not a curated record.